Molecule: ribosomal RNA, 468 nt
Filed under: uncultured bacterium
Lineage: Bacteria
Description: partial 16S ribosomal RNA
Rfam family: Bacterial small subunit ribosomal RNA
Source: RNAcentral
GACGAACGCUGGCGGCGUGCUUAAUACAUGCAAGUCGAACGAACAGGCCCUGCUCUUGUGGCGUGCUCGAUUGGCGAACGGGUGUGUAUCACGUGAGUAACCUGCCCUUGUCUUUGGGAUAACUUCAGGAAACUCGGGCUCUUACCCGAUAGGAUCUCUUGCUGCACGGUGGGGGAUGGUAAGUUUCGGCGGUUGGGGAUGGACUAGCGGCUUAUCCGCUUGUUGGUGGGGUAGUUGCUUACCAAGCCUGUGACGGGUAGGCGGCCUGAGAGGGGGGCCGGGCACAAUGGUACUGAGGUACGGCGCAGAAUCCUACGGGAGGCAGCAGUGGGGAAUAUUGCACAAUGGGCGGAAGCCUGAUGCAGCAACGCCGCGUGCGGGAUGACGGCCUUCGAGUUGUAAACCGCUUUCGCCUGUGACGAAGCGGGAGUGACGGUAAUGGGUAAAGAAGCACCGGCUAACUACGUG